RNAcentral lists this ribosomal RNA (253 nucleotides) under uncultured bacterium. RNAcentral's name for it is "partial 16S ribosomal RNA". It matches the Rfam family "Bacterial small subunit ribosomal RNA", at positions 524 to 776 of the family's 1533-position model. The record is from RNAcentral.
UACGUAGGGUGCGAGCGUUGUCCGGAUUUAUUGGGCGUAAAGAGCUCGUAGGCGGUUUGUCGCGUCGGCCGUGAAAUCUCCACGCUUAACGUGGAGCGUGCGGUCGAUACGGGCAGACUUGAGUUCGGUAGGGGAGACUGGAAUUCCUGGUGUAGCGGUGAAAUGCGCAGAUAUCAGGUGGAACACCCGUAGCGAAGGCGGCACUCUGGGCCGGAACUGACGCUGAGGAGCGAAAGCGUGGGGAGCGAACAGG